AGUGAACGCUGGCGGCAGGCCUAACACAUGCAAGUCGAACGGCAGCACAGUAAGUGCUUGCGCUUACGGGUGGCGAGUGGCGGACGGGUGAGGAAUAUAUCGGAAUCUACUUUUUCGUGGGGGAUAACGCAGGGAAACUUACGCUAAUACCGCAUACGACGUACGGGUGAAAGCAUGGGACCUUCUGACCUUGCGCGAGUGAAUGAGCCGAUGUCGGAUUAGCUAGUGGGCGGGGUAAAGGCCCACCAAGGCGACGAUCCGUAGCUGGUCUGAGAGGAUGAUCAGCCACACUGGAACUGAGACACGGUCCAGACUCCUACGGGAGGCAGCAGUGGGGAAUAUUGGACAAUGGGCGCAAGCCUGAUCCAGCCAUACCGCGUGGGUGAAGAAGGCCUUCGGGUUGUAAAGCCCUUUUGUUGGGAAAGAAGAGCAGUAGGUUAAUACCCCGCUGUUCUGACGGUACCCAAAGAAUAAGCACCGGCUAACUUCGUG
RNAcentral lists this ribosomal RNA (492 nucleotides) under uncultured bacterium. RNAcentral describes it as "partial 16S ribosomal RNA". It matches the Rfam family "Bacterial small subunit ribosomal RNA", at positions 29 to 507 of the family's 1533-position model. The record is from RNAcentral.